RNAcentral lists this ribosomal RNA (253 nucleotides) under uncultured bacterium. RNAcentral describes it as "partial 16S ribosomal RNA". It matches the Rfam family "Bacterial small subunit ribosomal RNA", at positions 524 to 776 of the family's 1533-position model. The record is from RNAcentral.
GACAGAGGAUGCAAGCGUUAUCCGGAAUGAUUGGGCGUAAAGCGUCUGUAGGUGGCUUUUCAAGUCCGCCGUCAAAUCCCGGGGCUCAACCCUGGAAUUGCAUUGAAUACUGGUGGACUAGAGUACUGGAGAGGAAACUGGAAUUUACGGUGUAGCAGUGAAAUGCGUAGAGAUCGUAAGGAAGACCAGUGGCGAAGGCGAGUUUCUGGACAGUAACUGACGCUGAGGCACGAAGGCCAGGGGAGCAAACGGG